CUUACUUCUUGGCUCUGAUGGCCUGUCGUCGUUCACAAUUUUUGGUGUUAGGUUUGUGUGUUGAAUUCAAUCUCCGUCGAGGUUUGUUCUGGAUUUUAUGGUUAAUCUGAAUACGAUUGUAGUUAUGGAGUCGGCAUCUUCGCUAUGGAUUUCUCCACUGCCGCCGUAGCUUCGUGUUCCUCCCGUCUGUUCCGCCGCGGAUUUUGCAGAAACAAAGAGGGAUCUGCCGAUGCCACACUGCAGGGAGAAAAGUUGGGGUCUUUUGGAAGCGUGGAUCCAUAGGAGUAUGGCAUACUUUCUUCUCUAGGCAACUCAGCUGCUGAUCGUGCAACUUUUUCACGAAAACAAGUACCUGCAAGAUCGUGCAACUUCUUCACAAAAACAGCUGCUGAUGAUAGUUUGGUCU
Long non-coding RNA from Cucurbita maxima (winter squash), 406 nucleotides. RefSeq lists it as uncharacterized. Lineage: Eukaryota; Viridiplantae; Streptophyta; Magnoliopsida; Cucurbitales; Cucurbitaceae. The transcript has 3 exons. The record is from RefSeq and is a predicted model, not a curated record.